Long non-coding RNA from Xiphophorus hellerii (green swordtail), 1145 nucleotides. RefSeq lists it as uncharacterized. NCBI's taxonomy places the organism in Eukaryota, Metazoa, Chordata, Actinopteri, Cyprinodontiformes, Poeciliidae. The transcript has 2 exons. The record is from RefSeq and is a predicted model, not a curated record.
UCAAGUUCCAUCAAUAAAUUUGUAAUUGAUUACGUUUCAAAUACAAUCCUAAACAGUGUGGCAGCAUAGAAAAGAGGUCCUGCGUCGCUAGAUAUAAAACCCCCCCUAAUCCAAGGUUUAGCACGUUAAAAGUUACUCUCUCUCAAGAAGAAUGAGUGGGGAUAAAAACAAGAAGGGACGAGUCCAGUCUCGGAACUCGGAAAUGCGACACGAAAGCAAAGCCUGCGGAGCACACGCGGUCGAGGAAGGAGAUAAGAUGGCGGAUGAGGCCUUGCCUGCUACAAUUAGCUCACUAAGAAAGGUGGUGAGUGAAGUAAUGGCGGAGGGCAUGCAGGACCUCAAAUCAGAAAUGAAGAAGGAGUUAGCGCAAGUGAGAAUGAGCUUAAAGGAGGAAAUUAAAGUCCUAUCACAGCGGAGGCGAUCAACAAUCUUCUGUCAAUGGAUAUAGUGGGACCACGACGCGUUGGGAGCGCGCCUGGCCUGCGACAGAGCGCACGGGAAAAGCUGAAGGUGUUUCAGCGGCCAGGCGGAGAGGACGUUGCUAUGGUGGAAUAAUCUUCCUUAUCCCCACCGAAGAAACAAUUGAUCAUCUUGCAGCGAGAGAAGCAGACCAUCUGAUUAGUACCAGUGUGUCACGGGGUGGCUGUCUCUGCGCAGGAGUAUGGUGAGGACUGUGACCCCCCCUUCAUAAUUGGAGUAAUGAAGAACCGAUGCAGGUGACUCUUAAAUUAGUUUUUUCAGUUUCCUUCCUUUAAGUAGGCAACUAGGCAGGGGCCCCACUUAGUGGCACUUCCCCCUACAUUAAGAGGAAUAAGGGAUCCUCCUAUUUGGAAGACCUGUUCAUUGUUAUGACAAGUUCUGGUUUUAUGUUUUUCUGUUUUUUGUGUGUUCUGAGGGCUAGGAGUGUUGUCAUGCAGGUGGAAAAAAAUAUAUUGGUGUCUAGAGGAUAUGCAGUGUUAUAAUAUACAGACUCUGAAUGUGAAUGGUAUAAAAAAUCCCAUUAAAAGAAGCAAGAUCAUUUCAAAGCUUAAACGAGAGCAGGUUGGCAUUGGUUUCUUACAGGAAACACAUUUGUCAAAUGAAGAACAUGAGAAAAUAAAGAAAAUGGGUUAUAGAAAAACAUAUUUUGCUUCUCACAGAUCGGG